RNAcentral lists this ribosomal RNA (486 nucleotides) under Triticum aestivum (bread wheat). RNAcentral describes it as "partial small subunit ribosomal RNA". Lineage: Eukaryota; Viridiplantae; Streptophyta; Magnoliopsida; Poales; Poaceae. The record is from RNAcentral.
AUGCACUCCCAAGUCUUGACCUGCGACACGGUGGUCCUCGCGCCAACGCUCCCGCUGCCAGGCUCCUGCACUACCGGCACCAAUGCUCCCGCUGCCAGGCUCCUACACUCACUGGCGCUCGUCGCUGCCUGCAUCGCUCGAGCCACCAGCAGGAUGGCUUUGCGCGAGAUGCAGGAGAGGGUACCUGAGAGAGAGAGAGAGAGAGAGAGAGAGAGAGAGAGAGAGAGAGAGCGCGCAGGGGUCAGCCGCAGCUCGGCGAGAGGAGGAGGCGCAGAGACGGUCGGGCCCCUACCUCCCUUCCUCCUCUCAGCCACCCAUGGCUCUCCAGCACCAGUUGCAGCCUCGUCCAUCUCCGUGGCGUCGGCGGACGUAUUUGCCUCUCCAACUCCAGAUCGUGAAAUUUGGAGGAAACGAGGAGAUGAGAGGAGAGGUGGCGGCCGAGAGUGGUUGCGCCGAAAUCCAUGGGCUGAGGGAUGUGGCGGCUAG